AAGCUGUCUUGGUAAUAUUUAAUUGAAUUUAAUUUUUUAUUUAAAAAGUUAAAAUAAUUUAAAAAGACGAGAAGACCCUAUAGAGUUUUAUAUUAAAUUAAAUUAAAAUUAUUUAUAUAAUUAUUAAUAUAGAUUUAAUUUUAGUAUUUUGUUGGGGUGACAAAAAAAUAAAUAAAACUUUUUUUUAUUAUUUACAUAAAUAAAUGAAUUUUUGAUCCAAUUUUAUUGAUUAAAAGAAAAAAUUACCUUAGGGAUAACAGCGUAAUUUUUUUUUUUA
This 277-nucleotide ribosomal RNA is filed under the name Samia canningi. RNAcentral describes it as "partial large subunit ribosomal RNA". The record is from RNAcentral. Lineage: Eukaryota; Metazoa; Arthropoda; Insecta; Lepidoptera; Saturniidae.